This 261-nucleotide ribosomal RNA is filed under the name uncultured archaeon. Its description in RNAcentral is "partial 16S ribosomal RNA". It matches the Rfam family "Archaeal small subunit ribosomal RNA", at positions 748 to 1008 of the family's 1478-position model. The record is from RNAcentral.
CAGCCGUAAACUAUGCGCGUUAGGUGUACUGGUGACCACGAGUCACCGGGGUGCCGAAGGGAAACCGUGAAACGUGCCGCCUGGGAAGUACGGUCGCAAGGCUGAAACUUAAAGGAUUGGCCGGGGGAGCACCACAACGGGUGGAGCCUGCGGUUUAAUUGGACUCAACGCCGGAAAUCUCACCGGAUAGGACAGACAUAUGAUAGUCGGGCUGAAGACUCUACUUGAUGAUCUGAGAGGUGGUGCAUGGCGUCAGUGACU